UACGUAGGGUGCGAGCGUUGUCCGGAAUUAUUGGGCGUAAAGAGCUCGUAGGCGGUGUGUCACGUCGGCCGUGAAAACCUGCAGCUUAACUGUGGGCGUGCGGUCGAUACGGGCAUCACUGGAGUUCGGCAGGGGAGACUGGAAUUCCUGGUGUAGCGGUGAAAUGCGCAGAUAUCAGGAGGAACACCGGUGGCGAAGGCGGGUCUCUGGGCCACUACUGACGCUGAGAAGCGAAAGCGUGGGGAGCAAACAGG
This 254-nucleotide ribosomal RNA is filed under the name uncultured bacterium. RNAcentral describes it as "partial 16S ribosomal RNA". It matches the Rfam family "Bacterial small subunit ribosomal RNA", at positions 524 to 776 of the family's 1533-position model. The record is from RNAcentral.